Molecule: unclassified non-coding RNA, 242 nt
Filed under: uncultured fungus
Lineage: Eukaryota; Fungi
Description: sequence contains ITS1, 5.8S rRNA gene
Rfam family: 5.8S ribosomal RNA (bases 194-242)
Source: RNAcentral
UUUCCGUAGGUGAACCUGCGGAAGGAUCAUUAUCGAAGCCCCUAACCGGGCAUUGCCGCGACUGUGCGCGUUUUCUUGCGCUGCACGUCGCACAUCCUUCUUACACACCCGUGCACUCUUUGCGGGCGUCCUUGGACGUUCGUCUAUUACACACUUCUUUUGUUAUGGAUGUACACUUUCGAAAAGUUUAUAUAACUUUCAACAACGGAUCUCUUGGCUCUCGCAUCGAUGAAGAACGCAGC